AUACGGAGGAUGCAAGCGUUAUCCGGAAUCAUUGGGUUUAAAGGGUCCGUAGGCGGGCUAUUAAGUCAGAGGUGAAAUCCCACAGCUCAACUGUGGAACUGCCUUUGAUACUGAUAGUCUUGAGUUACAGUGAAGUAGAUAGAAUAUGUAGUGUAGCGGUGAAAUGCAUAGAUAUUACAUAGAAUACCGAUUGCGAAGGCAGUCUACUAACUGUAUACUGACGCUGAUGGACGAAAGCGUGGGGAGCGAACAGGAUUAGAAACCCUUGUAGUCC
This 274-nucleotide ribosomal RNA is filed under the name uncultured bacterium. RNAcentral's name for it is "partial 16S ribosomal RNA". It matches the Rfam family "Bacterial small subunit ribosomal RNA", at positions 523 to 796 of the family's 1533-position model. The record is from RNAcentral.